ACGCAUGACUAUGAUGUCAAGAUGCGUAACGUCAUGAGAUUCCUGCAAAAUGGCGACAAGGUCAAGGUCACGCUGAGGUUCCGCGGCCGCGAGAUGGCGCACCAGGAUCUGGGCCGCGACCUGCUGGAGCGGGUGGCCGAGGAUGUCAAGGAUGUCGGCAAGGUCGAGAACAUGCCGAAGAUGGAAGGCCGCCAGAUGAUCAUGGUGAUCGGUCCCCAAUCGCGGUAAUCGGCACGCCCUUGCCUGUGUAGGAUUCGUACGAAUCCUACACGCGAUUGGGACGGAACACGGCCCC
RNAcentral lists this unclassified non-coding RNA (295 nucleotides) under Roseovarius litoreus. RNAcentral describes it as "Long range pseudoknot". The record is from RNAcentral. Lineage: Bacteria; Pseudomonadati; Pseudomonadota; Alphaproteobacteria; Rhodobacterales; Roseobacteraceae.